RNAcentral lists this unclassified non-coding RNA (197 nucleotides) under soil metagenome. RNAcentral's name for it is "partial contains small subunit ribosomal RNA, internal transcribed spacer 1, and 5.8S ribosomal RNA". The record is from RNAcentral.
UUUCCGUAGGUGAACCUGCGGAAGGAUCAUUAUCGUUGGGCUUAUGCCUCUCGAGAUAGCACCCAUUGGCUAUUAGUACCUAUUGUUUCCUCAGCAAGAUGUCUUGCUAAUGGGGACCCUAUAAAACUCUUUGUAGUAGCUCUAAACGUCAAAUAAUCAAUAUAUUACAACUUUCAACAACGGAUCUCUUGGCUCUG